This is a long non-coding RNA of Trichoplusia ni (cabbage looper), 1704 nucleotides long. RefSeq lists it as uncharacterized. The record is from RefSeq and is a predicted model, not a curated record. NCBI's taxonomy places the organism in Eukaryota, Metazoa, Arthropoda, Insecta, Lepidoptera, Noctuidae. The transcript has 2 exons.
CCCCGCCGCGCCCGCGAGCCGCUGCUGGUCCCGCUGGCGCCGCCGCCCUAGCACACGCCUGUCUGGCCCGCGCCUGACGCACGCUAGACCUACUGAUACCAGUUUAUCCGCGGGCCGUACUCACAAGCGACCCACCUCUAGUGCAAUUAAUAUAAUUAACCGAACAUUUACUGACAAUGUACAAACAUACGAGUAUAUAACGAGUAUUAUGUGACAAAGUUUAACUUUGGAGCUAUCUUAAUAUGUAUAUAGUCAGAAAAAAAUGAAAUUUGAUUAUUGUGAACAUGAAUUUGGCUUACGAAAGUUAAUUCGGGCUCAAAACAAUAAAGAAUCCGCAAACUUUAAAAGCAAAACUGUUACAAUUGUGGGAAAGAGACAACACUACGCAUCUUAUUGCGCUGUCUUGCUCCCACAUAUGUAACAAUCUUGCUAUAGGCGUGAGUGGUGAUUAGGCCAAUGUCUAUUGUAUAAAUUCUAAAUUAAACCCGUAAUGUAUAAGUUUUAGGUAUCGGAAUUUUCAAAUUCGAGGAAAGUGUAAUGCGAUCUGUAUGUUUAUUUAAAGUAGUUAUCCCAUGCAUAAAAUGUAUUUUUUUUUAAGUUUUGUUUUGUUACAUCAAUUGAUUUAUAAUUAGUUGUAUAUAGCUACUGCUUAAACAAGACAAGUGGCAUUUCUACAAUUGUUAAAGAUGUCAAAAUCAGAAAUGAUGUUUAUUUUCUGCGAAUCAAAUUGCAUAGAUGUGAAUAAUGUGUAAUUUGAUAACAUUUGACCUAUUUGAUUUGUUAACGCUAAUAGAAAUUUUGUUCGGUGUUUCUCAAGAUGAUUUUUCGUCUUGCGUUUGAUAAAAAAAUUCAUGCAAGCACUUCCUUUGCAUACGCUAACUGCGUUAAACCACCAAAAGAAACAGCAUUUAUGUGCCGUUUCAGCAACAAAAAGUGUCUACGUUUGCGUCGUUCAGUCAGUAUUUUUUUGUACGUAAAGUAAAGAUGAUUUGCGGGGCAUUUCGCCCCGCAAAAAUUUCGCUUUGGCAAUACCACUAUUUAUUUCACUAGUAUUACACUACCCUCUAUGCUGUACUAAUAAAGUAUUGUGACAUUGAUGACUGUUAUCAUAAUAUAUUUGGCGGUUCUGAAUAAAAUGAGAGAUGACUGUGCAGGUCUCUUUAGUCAAUAAUAAAUCAUACACAUACUCGUGUCAAUAUAACAUUAUUGUAACAAGUGACUAUCAAAGAGGGAAUACUACCUUCUCCUGACAGAGGCCUGCAGCUGUGGAAGCGAGACGGCGUUCUAAACGGGGUAGUGUUGUUUCUUUUUUCACAUCUGCAGUCGUCUUUUAUGAGUUAGUGGUAGACCCCCUGAAAAUCUUGGUAUACAAAUAGUGUUGAUAUUAAAAGAAUAUGGUAAAAACUAAAGUAUAAAUACUGUUACAGGCUUAAUCUUUGUAGUCCUAAGGGUUAUGGCACACUGUACGGUAUGGUAACAGCAUGGCAAUUUGGUUGCCGCGACUGCAAGCUCGACAAACGCGCGCUAUCCAUGCGGUUUUGGAGCUGCCGUUACAGUGUACCAUGACCUUAAAGCCCAAAUUUAUUUAUGAUGGUGCUAACAACGUGCUUCAUUUUUUUGUAGAAAUGCUUAACAAUGUUCAAAUAGACUGGCCUAUAAAAUUGAUUAAAUUGACGACAAGAAACAAUAAAUGAAUUAACUUUA